GGAAGUCCUACCCUUCUCAAAACUCAUAUUAUCAUACUAUCAAGCCAUUUUCAGUAAUACUUUAAACUUCUUCUUAGGUAUUGUAUAUGUACUCAUGAUCAACAACUUGGAUUCUUUCAUAUUUUUGGAUUUUAAUAUAGUCAUAUUUUUAAAGGCUAGUUUGAGACUCUAAUUCAAGAUUUUCACCGAGAGAAAAUUCUUACUGAUAUGUGGGACGAGAUCUGAAGGAAUGCAUUAUGCAGGAGUUGAAGCUGGAUGGACUUUCUAUUUAUAAACAAAAGGCUAUGAUCAUUAAGCUAAUGUUGAUCACUAAUCAAAAUAUUUGAGGCACUUUCAAUGCAACAUCUGAUGAUAUUACCUUUUUAUUAACCAAAAAGCUUCACCUCACCUUUCCAUGCC
This 399-nucleotide long non-coding RNA is filed under the name Elaeis guineensis (African oil palm). Its description in RNAcentral is "long non-coding RNA (EGUI_LNC006754)". The record is from RNAcentral. Lineage: Eukaryota; Viridiplantae; Streptophyta; Magnoliopsida; Arecales; Arecaceae.